RNAcentral lists this ribosomal RNA (548 nucleotides) under uncultured Bacteroidota bacterium. RNAcentral's name for it is "bacterial SSU rRNA". It matches the Rfam family "Bacterial small subunit ribosomal RNA", at positions 224 to 769 of the family's 1533-position model. The record is from RNAcentral. Lineage: Bacteria; Pseudomonadati; Bacteroidota.
GAUGAGCAUGCGUCCCAUUAGCUAGUUGGUAAGGUAACGGCUUACCAAGGCGACGAUGGGUAGGGGUCCUGAGAGGGAGAUCCCCCACACUGGUACUGAGACACGGACCAGACUCCUACGGGAGGCAGCAGUGAGGAAUAUUGGUCAAUGGGCGCAAGCCUGAACCAGCCAUGCCGCGUGCAGGAUGACGGUCCUAUGGAUUGUAAACUGCUUUUGUACGGGAAGAAACAGCGAUUCGUGAAUCGCCUUGACGGUACCGUAAGAAUAAGGAUCGGCUAACUCCGUGCCAGCAGCCGCGGUAAUACGGAGGAUCCAAGCGUUAUCCGGAAUCAUUGGGUUUAAAGGGUCCGUAGGCGGUUUGGUAAGUCAGUGGUGAAAGCCCAUCGCUCAACGGUGGAACGGCCAUUGAUACUGCCAGACUUGAAUUAUUAGGAAGUAACUAGAAUAUGUAGUGUAGCGGUGAAAUGCUUAGAGAUUACAUGGAAUACCAAUUGCGAAGGCAGGUUACUACUAAUGGAUUGACGCUGAUGGACGAAAGCGUGGGUAGC